RNAcentral lists this ribosomal RNA (890 nucleotides) under Cosmocerca longicauda. Its description in RNAcentral is "SSU rRNA". It matches the Rfam family "Eukaryotic small subunit ribosomal RNA", at positions 59 to 953 of the family's 1831-position model. Lineage: Eukaryota; Metazoa; Nematoda; Chromadorea; Rhabditida; Cosmocercidae. The record is from RNAcentral.
CUAAGUUCAAAUAACCUCUAAUGGUGAAACCGCGAACGGCUCAUUAUAACAGCUAUUAUUUACUUGAUCUUGAUAUCCUACUUGGAUAACUGUGGUAAUUCUAGAGCUAAUACAAUGCAGCAAAGCUCCGAUUUUUGACGAGCGCAUCUAUUAGAUUAAAACCAAUCGGGUUUCGGCCCGUCAUUUGGUGACUCUGAAUAGCUAUGGCUGAUCGCAUGGUCUAGUACCGGCGACGUGUCUAUCAAGUGUCUGCCUUAUCAACUUUCGAUGGUAGUUUAUGUGCCUACCAUGGUUGUAACGGGUAACGGAGAAUAAGGGUUCGACUCCGGAGAGGGAGCCUGAGAAACGGCUACCACAUCCAAGGAAGGCAGCAGGCGCGCAAAUUACCCACUCUCGGCAUGAGGAGGUAGUGACGAAAAAUAACGAGACCGUUCUCUAUGAGGCCGGUUAUCGGAAUGGGUACAAUUUAAACCCGUUAACGAGGAUCUAUGAGAGGGCAAGUCUGGUGCCAGCAGCCGCGGUAAUUCCAGCUCUCAAAGUGUAUAUCGUCAUUGCUGCGGUUAAAAAGCUCGUAGUUGGAUCUGCGCCUCAGGACUCGGUCCGCCCGACUGGGUGUGAACUGGGCUCCUGGGCUAAUACUGCUGGUUUUCCCUGCGUUGCCUUCAUCGGUCGCGUAGGGUGGCUGGCGAGUUUACUUUGAAAAAAUUAGAGUGCUUCAAGCGGGCUAUUGUCUGAAUACUCGUGCAUGGAAUAAUAGAAUAGGAUCUCGGCACUAUUUUGUUGGUUUUCUGAUCUGAGAUAAUGGUUAAGAGGGACGGACGGGGGCAUUCGUAUCGCUGCGUGAGAGGUGAAAUUCUUGGACCGUAGCGAGACGUCCGACUGCGAAAGCA